RNAcentral lists this ribosomal RNA (504 nucleotides) under uncultured bacterium. RNAcentral's name for it is "partial 16S ribosomal RNA". It matches the Rfam family "Bacterial small subunit ribosomal RNA", at positions 29 to 523 of the family's 1533-position model. The record is from RNAcentral.
AUUGAACGCUGGCGGCAGGCCUAACACAUGCAAGUCGAACGGUAGCACAGAGAGCUUGCUCUCGGGUGACGAGUGGCGGACGGGUGAGUAACGUCUGGGAAACUGCCCGAUGGAGGGGGAUAACUACUGGAAACGGUAGCUAAUACCGCAUAACGUCGCAAGACCAAAGUGGGGGACCUUCGGGCCUCACACCAUCGGAUGUGCCCAGAUGGGAUUAGCUAGUAGGUGGGGUAAUGGCACACCUAGGCGACGAUCCCUAGCUGGUCUGAGAGGAUGACCAGCCACACUGGAACUGAGACACGGUCCAGACUCCUACGGGAGGCAGCAGUGGGGAAUAUUGCACAAUGAGCGCAAGCCUGAUGCAGCCAUGCCGCGUGUAUGAAGAAGGCCUUCGGGUUGUAAAGUACUUUCAGCGGGGAGGAAGGCGGUGAAGUUAAUAGCUUCACCGAUUGACGUUACCCGCAGAAGAAGCACCGGCUAACUCCGUGCCAGCCGCCGCGGUAA